GGGAAACUCACCAGGUCCAGACAUAAUAAGGAUUGACAGAUUGAUAGCUCUUUCUUGAUUUUAUGGGUGGUGGUGCAUGGCCGUUCUUAGUUCGUGGAGUGAUUUGUCUGCUUAAUUGCGUUAACGAACGAGACCUUAACCUGCUAAAUAGGAUCACCUAUCUCCGGAUAAGUGACUUUCUUCUUAGAGGGACACCUGGUGUUUUUAACCAGGGGAAGUUGGAGGCAAUAA
Molecule: ribosomal RNA, 231 nt
Filed under: uncultured eukaryote
Lineage: Eukaryota
Description: partial 18S ribosomal RNA
Rfam family: Eukaryotic small subunit ribosomal RNA
Source: RNAcentral